This 559-nucleotide long non-coding RNA is filed under the name Homo sapiens (human). Its description in RNAcentral is "non-protein coding lnc-STXBP4-8:1". Lineage: Eukaryota; Metazoa; Chordata; Mammalia; Primates; Hominidae. The record is from RNAcentral.
GGGACACCUCACUCUCUGGCAGGCUCCUGCUGGCUGGAGAUUGUUAACAUCGCCAAUCAGAUGUUAAUUGAAUGCAAAGGAAUAGGAAAUAAAUUCUGGUUCUGAAGGGGCAGCUGGAAAGGUGUUGGGCUUCUCAGAUUCCAACCUACAUUACAAAGCAGGCCUAAAGCCAAGCAUACUCCUUGCCAGAAGAAACGGAAAGCCCCUCUCCCGUUUUUAGAAUCAGGCUGGAAAACACGGCUCCCAGAAGGUGGGGUUAGAAAACAAGAGCUUGCGAGGCGGCGCCCUGUGGUCCCUCGAGGAAAUAGUAGAGAGACAAAGAGGGCCUGCUCCUGGGAAGCCCUAAAUUCGAAGCCAAUCCUUCCUCCUAGACAUGACCACAACUUUAAAGGGCAGGGCGCACACCUCCCCUCCCGGAUCUCUAGGACAAAGGCAGGUCGAGGGGCAGCCAAAGAGGCGCAGAGAAGAAUGACAAGGUGCCCAGCAAGCGGCAGGAUCAAAGCCUGGGUCUCUAAUUCCCAGGCUGGAGAUUCUGGGCUGCCUGCUCCUCCUGCACGGG